Malus domestica (apple) is the source of this 2038-nucleotide non-coding RNA. NCBI's taxonomy places the organism in Eukaryota, Viridiplantae, Streptophyta, Magnoliopsida, Rosales, Rosaceae. The record is from RefSeq and is a predicted model, not a curated record.
GGGAAUUCCUACCACGAACAAAAUGAUUCAACAGAAUAUGCAUCUCGCCAUCUGACAGCCAUAAAAGUCGCCACUUCCAGUUUUACAGGUGUCGAAGUCCACGUGUAGUCGCAGGAAUCCACAUCUUCCACCUCUAACACCGACCCAAUUUUUUUCCCCCAAGGAUUGAGCAUUGGCCUUAGUGCGAAAAUUCCUCAGGAUGUCGUGGGCUUGGAUCUAGAAGAUAGCACGGUCAAGUUUGAUGUCAUCAAUCGAGUGGUAUAGGGGCCAAAGUUUAACCGAGAAAGUAAUCCUUCACAAACCAUAGGUUUCCUUCCAUAAGCUUUCUGGCUACCACCUCAUCCCCGACAGCAAUGAUAUAUUUGUUAUCCUUAGCUUUUGAGGACACGGACCACCCCCAUUUUGUUCCAGGCUGAUUGGAGGGUUUCCUUAACCACAUUCUGGGAGGGUUCAUGGUCGGCAAUGAGUUGUCCCACGAGAUGGAUGGAGCUGUCAAAGCGUUCCUCCAAGUCGAGGCUAUCUUCCAGAGUUAUAUUCAGAUAGUCAACAAUCUCAUCUUUAGUAGCCAUGGCCACCACAAGAAGAAGCCGUUGAAGGAGACAAGAUCCACAGGGGAUACAAAAAGGAGCUCACGCCAAUGGUGCCAGAGCUAGGGUGCCGGAGUGUCAGAGCUAAGGAGUCGUUGAACCAAGCUACUCUUGUACAUGACAAUGAGCUCUACAUAGUAAGCUAUUUAGAGUUUUGUUCCAGUUUUGAUUAUGCACAAUUUCAAUUUUAAACUUCAAAAAAUUUUGAAAUUGGUUUAGGGUUACUGAAAUUUUAAAAGCAAAAAAAAAAGACAUUCUGCAAUUAAAUGCAGAGACUGUUAGGUCUAAAAGAAUAAGAAAAUGGAGAGAGCAGCAUAACAUUACUACUACUAUACUAAGAACAACACGAAACUGGCUUUGGGUAAGAUUCCACUAUGUGUAUAAUCUCCUUCAAAAGUGAUUUUGGAAGAGAUAAUGUCAAAUUCAUAUCUGAAUAAGGAAAUAAUAUGCAUGUAUAAUGAAGUAGGGUUUGUUUCUAAUUUGGGGUAAUUGAUCGAUAUUUUGCCGAAAUUUUGUAGAAAUCUUGAUCUUGCUUCAAGGGGCCAAAUUAAUUUGUAGUUUAAACUCGAGAUUUUUUUUGGUUCAGAGAGUUUUACUUUUAUUCAUUGAAUUUUCUUUGCAUAAUUUUUUUGUUGUAAAAGUUUAAUGUUGUGUUGUUGUUCAUGAGGAAGAGGACUGAAACCCAGCUGCGUGAAGAAGGUAUGGUUUGUGACAGUUAGUUUUAAUUUUCCAAGCUUCCUAAAAGUUUUGGAGUAUCGUCUUUGGGAUGUUUGUGGAUCAAUUUUUUUUUUACACCUUGAAUUGAAUCGUAGCUUCUGAUGUUUGAAACUCUAGCACUUUUAGUUAGUUAAGGAAUAUUCAAUGUAGUUGACCGUCAAAAUUGGUUUUGUUGUCGUACUAUGAAUCUGCAUCAUUGAUUAAGUUUAUUUGUGUCUCGACCCUAUGUACAUGAUACAUUUUUUGUAGUCAUCUUUUGAUGUGGAUCAUAUAUUGUCGUUGUGAACUAUGCAAAAGAGGAGAGACUAAGGAGAGAAGCAGCAGAAUGGAUGGCAAAAUUAGGCAAGAUUGCUGAAAUACAGAGGCAAAAAGGGAGGAACUAGAAGAAUUAGUUGCGUACAAAAGCUCUUUUGAGAUGCAAAGGAAAAGGUGGAGGCUGACAAUUCAUCAGAUUAUAAGAUCGAGAAGAUAAGAAGAUAGUUGGGGAUACUAAUUUCAUACCAGCUGGUCGAAGUGGAGGGAAUUUGAGAUUCUAGAAGAUUCAGGAAGUUGACUAAUACAAUACCAAAUAGUAUUGUUGAUUACUAUUAAUUUUGCUUUAGAUUAGUCUCAGUUGUUGAUUAAUAUUAGUUUGGGGCUAAUUACAACCCACGUACGACUGAAGGCUUACUGAAACUAAGCAUGCUUGAUUGAAACUAUGGAUUGGAUAAUCUACCAUUUCGUUAUGGAACUUA